RNAcentral lists this non-coding RNA (30 nucleotides) under Cricetulus griseus (Chinese hamster). Lineage: Eukaryota; Metazoa; Chordata; Mammalia; Rodentia; Cricetidae. The record is from RNAcentral.
AGUAACUAUCUACUGUUCAGGCACGAGCUC